AUUGUUAUGGUGAAUCUUGGCACUGGGAGAAUUCACAGUUGUUAUUUUGAAUAUUCUGUGGAUCUUUUUGUGCCACAAUUCAACACUACAAG
Molecule: microRNA precursor, 92 nt
Filed under: Mayetiola destructor (Hessian fly)
Lineage: Eukaryota; Metazoa; Arthropoda; Insecta; Diptera; Cecidomyiidae
Description: microRNA mir-263
Rfam family: mir-263 microRNA precursor family
Source: RNAcentral